RNAcentral lists this ribosomal RNA (253 nucleotides) under uncultured bacterium. RNAcentral describes it as "partial 16S ribosomal RNA". It matches the Rfam family "Bacterial small subunit ribosomal RNA", at positions 524 to 776 of the family's 1533-position model. The record is from RNAcentral.
UACGAAUGGAGCGAGCGUUGUUCGGAAUCACUGGGCGUAAAGCGUGCGCAGGCGGUUGUGAAAGUCAGGAGUGAAAUCCCAGGGCUUAACCCUGGAAUUGCUUUUGAAACUUCACGACUAGAGUACUGGAGGGGUUGGCGGAAUUCCGAGUGUAGCAGUGAAAUGCGUAGAUAUUCGGAGGAACACCGAUGGCGUAGGCAGCCAACUGGACAGUAACUGACGCUCAUGCACGAAAGCGUGGGGAUCAAACAGG